This 665-nucleotide long non-coding RNA is filed under the name Marmota monax (woodchuck). The record is from RNAcentral. Lineage: Eukaryota; Metazoa; Chordata; Mammalia; Rodentia; Sciuridae.
AUGGGCCAAGUGCUAAGCAUUCAGCACCCUUCAAGCCUUGCUGGGGGAAGGAGGACCCUCUGUUGCAGGAAAAGUGUUGCUUCUGUACCCAGCACCUGCAAGAAUGUGCAGGAGACACAUAAUGAGUGGCUGUGCAGGCAGCAGAGAUGAGGGAUCCCUUUCCACUGGGAUGAUCAGAGACACCUCAUGGUGACAACAGAGCUGUGUUUGGAAGGACAAGAAUUACAAUAGGCAGAGCCAUAAAGGAAGAACAAAGCAGAGAGAGGAAUCUGAGCAAAACACAGAGAAGGAAACAUCUUCUGGUCUUCGAUUGGAGUACCUGGGUCGUCUGACCUCGUGGCAUCUUCUAGCCAAGACUCCAGGAGCCGCUCCGUUAGCCUGGAAGUUGAAGGGUGAGAGUUGGGAAGGCCUCCAAGGACCAUUCAGGGAUUGGAGAGGGCAAAGAAUGGAGGAUGGUUUCUUUGUUCUUUUUGCCUGGGGAUGCCUUUCAGCCUAUCCCAGUCACUAUCUCCACAACCCUGCCUUUUAGGACAGUCUUGGGGACUAGGUGGCAAGAAACAGACAGACACUUAGGGGAAUUACAUCUGAUAUGAGCAUUUACAAGCUAAAUGUAAAGCGAUCACCCCUCCUCUGAUCAUAGCCCAGAAAUCUAUGAGGUUGUUUAC